RNAcentral lists this ribosomal RNA (253 nucleotides) under uncultured bacterium. RNAcentral's name for it is "partial 16S ribosomal RNA". It matches the Rfam family "Bacterial small subunit ribosomal RNA", at positions 524 to 776 of the family's 1533-position model. The record is from RNAcentral.
UACGGAGGGGGCUAGCGUUGUUCGGAAUCACUGGGCGUAAAGCGCACGUAGGCGGCUUUGUAAGUUAGAGGUGAAAGCCUGGUGCUCAACACCAGAACUGCCUUUAAGACUGCAUCGCUUGAACGUCGGAGAGGUGAGUGGAAUUCCGAGUGUAGAGGUGAAAUUCGUAGAUAUUCGGAAGAACACCAGUGGCGAAGGCGGCUCACUGGACGACUGUUGACGCUGAGGUGCGAAAGCGUGGGGAGCAAACAGG